Molecule: ribosomal RNA, 115 nt
Filed under: Pseudomonas aeruginosa
Lineage: Bacteria; Pseudomonadati; Pseudomonadota; Gammaproteobacteria; Pseudomonadales; Pseudomonadaceae
Also listed under: 37 other names
Description: partial 16S ribosomal RNA
Rfam family: Bacterial small subunit ribosomal RNA
Source: RNAcentral
AAAAGAAGUAGGUAGCUUAACCUUCGGGAGGGCGCUUACCACUUUGUGAUUCAUGACUGGGGUGAAGUCGUAACAAGGUAACCGUAGGGGAACCUGCGGUUGGAUCACCUCCUUA